GACAGCCAGCAUAAGACGAGGCAAGGCAGUCAGACAGACCUGUUUUCUCUCCAGCUGCUUCCUUCCUUCACAAGAAAAAUCACAGAAAUCUCUGCUUCUGAAGUUUCAGAUAUUUCUUCACUUAAGAGAUUUCUUUUGUGCAAUUUUUCCUGGAAAACGGCCUCCAGCUCUGGGGAGAAGACACCCCUUCCCUCUGGGGAGGGCGCGCGGCCACUCCUGAUGAAGUGACAACAGGACAACCACUGGAAUCCAUGUGAAUGACAGGAACAGUCAUUUUCAAAAAUGCACAAGGACAGUAUUAGGCCAAGGCCCCAUCUACCACGGGUCUAUGCAGAUGCCUGUCCACAAUUUUCGAAGCUCCUAAAGAUUAGAAAUGGCCAUAAUCACAUCUGACUCUACUCUAUCUUCUAUUCUUCACCUAUUGUUUUACACUUGUUCCUAUUGUAUUCUGCAUUUUCAUACUGAUUCAAUAAAAAUGGGUUAGAUAACCAGUUUAUUUGCUUAUGGCUCAUAUUACCACCCUGGAGGAGGCGCAUCUGGGCAGUCUGUGUCUCAGCUAAGGUCACUUCUGCACCUGCAGUCAGUGGGCAGCUCAGCUGGGACUGACUCACGUGUCUGUUGCUUGGCGCUGCCUCUAGGUGGAUCCCCAUCUCCUCAGCAAGCUAGCCUGGCCUUCUUCAUACGGCGGAGGAAGAG
Non-coding RNA from Vicugna pacos (alpaca), 696 nucleotides. Lineage: Eukaryota; Metazoa; Chordata; Mammalia; Artiodactyla; Camelidae. The record is from RefSeq and is a predicted model, not a curated record.